GCUUUCCCGACACCGACCCAAGUCAUAAACCAUUCAGCCAUUUUGGCGUUGAAAUUUUCCAAGUUUUUUUAUGUAUUCAUAGUAUAGGUUUCACGAAAUAGAUAAAAUUACCAAAUCACCAAGGUAGUGCAGAACACCAACUGGUGUAAUGGUUAACGCUUUUGCCUUAUGUUCGGGAGAACCGAGUUCGAGUCUCACACUGCGCAAACUUUAGCUCAAAGUCCGCUUCGUGUGGGGCUCGAACCAUAGUCUCCCGAACACCGGGUAAAGUUAAAAACCAUUAUACCAUUUUGCCAGCAAAAUUCGGCUUUUUUUUUUGGUAGUGUACUGUACUGAACAGAGGACGUCUGGUGAAAAGGAAAAAUUGACAUGUUCAUUUUACGCUGGGUUACAUACAAGUGAAUGGGGGCACUGCCAUCUCGCGGUAGCUUGCCGUCAUUACAUGAACCGCUUCAUAAACUCGAGUCAAAAGCCUGUAUGUUUCAUAUCGUACGACGUACGUAUUUAUUUAAUUCUGCUUAUGUGAUGGUAUUUUAAAUUAAACAAAUGUACAGUAAACUACUCAUAUGUUUAAGUUCUAAUAACCAUAUUGUAACUGAAGUGGAAUGAUAUUUUCAUUAAAGAAAGAGCAAUGAUGAAA
Syngnathus acus (greater pipefish) is the source of this 640-nucleotide long non-coding RNA. RefSeq lists it as uncharacterized. Lineage: Eukaryota; Metazoa; Chordata; Actinopteri; Syngnathiformes; Syngnathidae. The record is from RefSeq and is a predicted model, not a curated record. The transcript is spliced from 2 exons.